UACGAACAGGCACAUGGGCUGGGAAGUAC
Molecule: non-coding RNA, 29 nt
Filed under: Homo sapiens (human)
Lineage: Eukaryota; Metazoa; Chordata; Mammalia; Primates; Hominidae
Source: RNAcentral